AUUCAGCGGCUCUGCCCUGGAGACCCCUCUACAGGCAGAUGACUUUCUCUGGGGGGGUCUCCUUAUCCCGAGCACGGCCAGGAGCUGCAGGAGCUGGGGAGGGUUUGGGGGAGGAAGCCUCAGCACCCCUCUUGCUCCUACCAGCUCGGCAUCAUUUACCGAGACCUGAAACUGGAGAAUGUGCUGCUGGACUCCGAGGGCCACAUUGUCCUCACGGACUUCGGGCUGAGCAAGGAGUUCCUGACGGAGGAGAAAGAGCGGACCUUCUCCUUCUGUGGCACCAUCGAGUACAUGGCCCCUGAAAUCAUCCGUAGCAAGACGGGGCACGGCAAGGCUGUGGACUGGUGGAGCCUGGGCAUCUUGCUCUUCGAGCUGCUGACGGGGGCCUCGCCCUUCACCCUGGAGGGCGAGAGGAACACGCAGGCUGAGGUGUCUCGACGGAUCCUGAAGUGCUCCCCUCCCUUCCCCCCUCGGAUCGGGCCCGUGGCACAGGACCUGCUGCAGCGGCUGCUUUGCAAGGAUCCCAAGAAGCGAUUGGGCGCGGGGCCCCAGGGGGCACAAGAAGUCCGGAACCACCCCUUCUUCCAG
Molecule: small RNA, 588 nt
Filed under: Pongo abelii (Sumatran orangutan)
Lineage: Eukaryota; Metazoa; Chordata; Mammalia; Primates; Hominidae
Description: retained intron
Source: RNAcentral